UCAAGUUUGAAAGGCGGCGCAAGCUGUCACUUUAGGAUGAGCCCGCGGCGCAUUAGCUAGUUGGUGGGGUAAAGGCCUACCAAGGCAAUGAUGCGUAGCCGAGUUGAGAGACUGAUCGGCCACAUUGGGACUGAGACACGGCCCAAACUCCUACGGGAGGCAGCAGUAGGGAAUCUUCCACAAUGGACGAAAGUCUGAUGGAGCAACGCCGCGUGAGUGAAGAAGGUUUUCGGAUCGUAAAGCUCUGUUGUUGGUGAAGAAGGAUAGAGGCAGUAACUGGUCUUUAUUUGACGGUAAUCAACCAGAAAGUCACGGCUAACUACGUGCCAGCAGCCGCGGUAAUACGUAGGUGGCAAGCGUUGUCCGGAUUUAUUGGGCGUAAAGCGAGCG
This 390-nucleotide ribosomal RNA is filed under the name Lactobacillus delbrueckii. RNAcentral's name for it is "bacterial SSU rRNA". It matches the Rfam family "Bacterial small subunit ribosomal RNA", at positions 194 to 571 of the family's 1533-position model. Lineage: Bacteria; Bacillati; Bacillota; Bacilli; Lactobacillales; Lactobacillaceae. The record is from RNAcentral.